RNAcentral lists this ribosomal RNA (2930 nucleotides) under Escherichia coli. RNAcentral describes it as "bacterial LSU rRNA". It matches the Rfam family "Bacterial large subunit ribosomal RNA". Lineage: Bacteria; Pseudomonadati; Pseudomonadota; Gammaproteobacteria; Enterobacterales; Enterobacteriaceae. The record is from RNAcentral.
GGGUUGUGAGGUUAAGCGACUAAGCGUACACGGUGGAUGCCCUGGCAGUCAGAGGCGAUGAAGGACGUGCUAAUCUGCGAUAAGCGUCGGUAAGGUGAUAUGAACCGUUAUAACCGGCGAUUUCCGAAUGGGGAAACCCAGUGUGUUUCGACACACUAUCAUUAACUGAAUCCAUAGGUUAAUGAGGCGAACCGGGGGAACUGAAACAUCUAAGUACCCCGAGGAAAAGAAAUCAACCGAGAUUCCCCCAGUAGCGGCGAGCGAACGGGGAGCAGCCCAGAGCCUGAAUCAGUGUGUGUGUUAGUGGAAGCGUCUGGAAAGGCGCGCGAUACAGGGUGACAGCCCCGUACACAAAAAUGCACAUGCUGUGAGCUCGAUGAGUAGGGCGGGACACGUGGUAUCCUGUCUGAAUAUGGGGGGACCAUCCUCCAAGGCUAAAUACUCCUGACUGACCGAUAGUGAACCAGUACCGUGAGGGAAAGGCGAAAAGAACCCCGGCGAGGGGAGUGAAAAAGAACCUGAAACCGUGUACGUACAAGCAGUGGGAGCACGCUUAGGCGUGUGACUGCGUACCUUUUGUAUAAUGGGUCAGCGACUUAUAUUCUGUAGCAAGGUUAACCGAAUAGGGGAGCCGAAGGGAAACCGAGUCUUAACUGGGCGUUAAGUUGCAGGGUAUAGACCCGAAACCCGGUGAUCUAGCCAUGGGCAGGUUGAAGGUUGGGUAACACUAACUGGAGGACCGAACCGACUAAUGUUGAAAAAUUAGCGGAUGACUUGUGGCUGGGGGUGAAAGGCCAAUCAAACCGGGAGAUAGCUGGUUCUCCCCGAAAGCUAUUUAGGUAGCGCCUCGUGAAUUCAUCUCCGGGGGUAGAGCACUGUUUCGGCAAGGGGGUCAUCCCGACUUACCAACCCGAUGCAAACUGCGAAUACCGGAGAAUGUUAUCACGGGAGACACACGGCGGGUGCUAACGUCCGUCGUGAAGAGGGAAACAACCCAGACCGCCAGCUAAGGUCCCAAAGUCAUGGUUAAGUGGGAAACGAUGUGGGAAGGCCCAGACAGCCAGGAUGUUGGCUUAGAAGCAGCCAUCAUUUAAAGAAAGCGUAAUAGCUCACUGGUCGAGUCGGCCUGCGCGGAAGAUGUAACGGGGCUAAACCAUGCACCGAAGCUGCGGCAGCGACACUAUGUGUUGUUGGGUAGGGGAGCGUUCUGUAAGCCUGUGAAGGUGUACUGUGAGGUAUGCUGGAGGUAUCAGAAGUGCGAAUGCUGACAUAAGUAACGAUAAAGCGGGUGAAAAGCCCGCUCGCCGGAAGACCAAGGGUUCCUGUCCAACGUUAAUCGGGGCAGGGUGAGUCGACCCCUAAGGCGAGGCCGAAAGGCGUAGUCGAUGGGAAACAGGUUAAUAUUCCUGUACUUGGUGUUACUGCGAAGGGGGGACGGAGAAGGCUAUGUUGGCCGGGCGACGGUUGUCCCGGUUUAAGCGUGUAGGCUGGUUUUCCAGGCAAAUCCGGAAAAUCAAGGCUGAGGCGUGAUGACGAGGCACUACGGUGCUGAAGCAACAAAUGCCCUGCUUCCAGGAAAAGCCUCUAAGCAUCAGGUAACAUCAAAUCGUACCCCAAACCGACACAGGUGGUCAGGUAGAGAAUACCAAGGCGCUUGAGAGAACUCGGGUGAAGGAACUAGGCAAAAUGGUGCCGUAACUUCGGGAGAAGGCACGCUGAUAUGUAGGUGAAGUCCCUCGCGGAUGGAGCUGAAAUCAGUCGAAGAUACCAGCUGGCUGCAACUGUUUAUUAAAAACACAGCACUGUGCAAACACGAAAGUGGACGUAUACGGUGUGACGCCUGCCCGGUGCCGGAAGGUUAAUUGAUGGGGUCAGCGCAAGCGAAGCUCUUGAUCGAAGCCCCGGUAAACGGCGGCCGUAACUAUAACGGUCCUAAGGUAGCGAAAUUCCUUGUCGGGUAAGUUCCGACCUGCACGAAUGGCGUAAUGAUGGCCAGGCUGUCUCCACCCGAGACUCAGUGAAAUUGAACUCGCUGUGAAGAUGCAGUGUACCCGCGGCAAGACGGAAAGACCCCGUGAACCUUUACUAUAGCUUGACACUGAACAUUGAGCCUUGAUGUGUAGGAUAGGUGGGAGGCUUUGAAGUGUGGACGCCAGUCUGCAUGGAGCCGACCUUGAAAUACCACCCUUUAAUGUUUGAUGUUCUAACGUUGACCCGUAAUCCGGGUUGCGGACAGUGUCUGGUGGGUAGUUUGACUGGGGCGGUCUCCUCCUAAAGAGUAACGGAGGAGCACGAAGGUUGGCUAAUCCUGGUCGGACAUCAGGAGGUUAGUGCAAUGGCAUAAGCCAGCUUGACUGCGAGCGUGACGGCGCGAGCAGGUGCGAAAGCAGGUCAUAGUGAUCCGGUGGUUCUGAAUGGAAGGGCCAUCGCUCAACGGAUAAAAGGUACUCCGGGGAUAACAGGCUGAUACCGCCCAAGAGUUCAUAUCGACGGCGGUGUUUGGCACCUCGAUGUCGGCUCAUCACAUCCUGGGGCUGAAGUAGGUCCCAAGGGUAUGGCUGUUCGCCAUUUAAAGUGGUACGCGAGCUGGGUUUAGAACGUCGUGAGACAGUUCGGUCCCUAUCUGCCGUGGGCGCUGGAGAAUUGAGGGGGGCUGCUCCUAGUACGAGAGGACCGGAGUGGACGCAUCACUGGUGUUCGGGUUGUCAUGCCAAUGGCACUGCCCGGUAGCUAAAUGCGGAAGAGAUAAGUGCUGAAAGCAUCUAAGCACGAAACUUGCCCCGAGAUGAGUUCUCCCUGACUCCUUGAGAGUCCUGAAGGAACGUUGAAGACGACGACGUUGAUAGGCCGGGUGUGUAAGCGCAGCGAUGCGUUGAGCUAACCGGUACUAAUGAACCGUGAGGCUUAACCUUACAACGCCGAAGGUGUUU